RNAcentral lists this long non-coding RNA (297 nucleotides) under Homo sapiens (human). Its description in RNAcentral is "non-protein coding lnc-MEGF10-2:1". Lineage: Eukaryota; Metazoa; Chordata; Mammalia; Primates; Hominidae. The record is from RNAcentral.
AUGUUGAUGACCUGGACUUUUUUAUACUGAAGAUUAAGAAACAGAAAAAUCCAAAUAUGCCACACAGUGGCUAAUCCACCAUGGUAUAUUCAAUGAUUGGAAUAUAAUGGAGAGGUUUAUGGAACAGAUAAUCUUUAAAUACCUAAGACCAGAACUUGAAGUCCAUUGAUUUCUUGUAACCUCUGCUGAACACUCCACAAAACGGAGAAUACACGACUGAAUUAACAUUUGAGCUUUUCCAUUUUGUAGGCUUCUAACUGGCUGUACAGACCAGCUUUGCUUUACCUGCAUCUUGGA